Molecule: ribosomal RNA, 450 nt
Filed under: uncultured bacterium
Lineage: Bacteria
Description: partial 16S ribosomal RNA
Rfam family: Bacterial small subunit ribosomal RNA
Source: RNAcentral
GUGGGGAAUAUUGGACAAUGGGCGAAAGCCUGAUCCAGCCAUGCCGCGUGUGUGAAGAAGGUCUUCGGAUUGUAAAGCACUUUAAGUUGGGAGGAAGGGCAGUAAGUUAAUACCUUGCUGUUUUGACGUUACCGACAGAAUAAGCACCGGCUAACUUCGUGCCAGCAGCCGCGGUAAUACGAAGGGUGCAAGCGUUAAUCGGAAUUACUGGGCGUAAAGCGCGCGUAGGUGGUUUUGUAAGUUGGAGGUGAAAUCCCCGGGCUCAACCUGGGAACUGCCUCCAAAACUGCAUGACUAGAGUACGGUAGAGGGUAGUGGAAUUUCCUGUGUAGCGGUGAAAUGCGUAGAUAUAGGAAGGAACACCAGUGGCGAAGGCGACUACCUGGACUGAUACUGACACUGAGAUGCGAAAGCGUGGGGAGCAAACAGGAUUAGAUACCCGGGUAGUCC